This 403-nucleotide ribosomal RNA is filed under the name uncultured bacterium. Its description in RNAcentral is "partial 16S ribosomal RNA". It matches the Rfam family "Bacterial small subunit ribosomal RNA", at positions 28 to 526 of the family's 1533-position model. The record is from RNAcentral.
GACGAACGCUGGCGGCGUGCCUAAUACAUGCAAGUCGAACGCAGUGGGGACGGGUGAGUAACACGUGGGCAACCUCCCAUCAGAGGGGAUAACACUUGGAAACAGGUGCUAAAACGCUAUGGAUGGAUGUACCCGCGGUGCAUUAGCGAGUUGGCGAGGUAACGGCUCACCAAGGCCACGAUGCAUAGCCGGUCUGAGAGGAUGAUCGGCCACACUGGGACUGAGACACGGCCCAGACUCUUACGGGAGGCAGCAGUGGGGAAUCUUCGACAAUGGACGAAAGUCUGACGGAGCAAGGCCGCGUGUGUGAAGAAGGUUUUCGGUUCGUAAAACUCUGUUAUUGGGGAGGCGGUAUCUGACGAGAAAGCCACGGCUAACUACGUGCCAGCAGCCGCGGUAAUAC